UCCUACUCAUUUCCAGAAAGAAUUGUAAGGUUGAUUCAUCUGAUAUAAUGAUAGGUGGAAUGUCGUUUCUAAUCUGAAAUUUGAUCGACAAUGUUGUUGCGUUUGUGUCUAGCCGUAAUGCACUGCAUAUUUUGGUUAGCAUUUCUUUGAACGAACUUGUUGAUGGAACUAGUAUGCCAGUAACUUCAAAUUUUGUGUAUUGGUUACUAUCAGCCCAUGUGCCGUUGAAAUAAAGUACAACUGGAAUCAACUCCAUUGUCUGUCAACAGAAUAAGUAUUGGUAAGUAACCAAAUCAGUGUUAGAUGGUAACCAAUUUAGCAUUAGUCAGUAACCAAGUCUUCAUAAGUAAGCAUUAUACUAUUACACAGUAACAAAAUUAUUAUUAGUCAGUAACCAAUGAAAUGACACACAGUAACCAAGUCAUUAUCAAUUAGUAACCAAUGCAAUACAGCAACCACUGUAAUGUUAAGCAGUAACCAAUACAACAUAAUCAAUAACCAAUAUAAUGUUAAGUAACCAAAUAACUAGUUAAGUAACCAAAUAACUAGUUAAGUAACCAAAUAACUAGUUUAAUGUUAGCCGGUAACCAAUAUAUCCAAUGUCAGUAACCAAGUCUUCAUAAACAACCAUUAUAAUAUUACAUAGUAACAAAAUCAUUAUUAGUCAGUAACCAAUGCAGCAACACACAGUAAUUAAGUCAUUAUCAGUUAGUAACCAAUGCAACAUUAGUUAGUACCAUUAUGCAUUAACCAAGUCAGCAUUAAACAGUAACAUAGACAUAGUUAGACAGUAACCAAUGUAAUGUUAAGCAGUAACCAAUACAGCAUAAUCAAUAACCAAUGUAAUGUUAAGUAACCAAAUAAAUAGUUAAGUAACCAAAUAACUAGUUCAAUGUUAGACGGUAACCAAUUUAGUCAAUGUCAGUAACCAAGUCUUCAUAAGCAACCAUUAUAAUAUUACACAGUAACAAAAGCAUUAUUAGUCAGUAACCAAUGCAGCAACACACAGUAACCAAGUCGUUAUCAGACAGUAACCAAUGUAAUGUUAAGCAGUAACCAAUACAGCAUAACCAAUAACCAAUGUAAUGUUAAGCAGUAACCAAUGUAGAAAGCAGUAACCAAUUUUUCAAAUUCAUUUUGCAAUCAAAACAUUCAUUAUUAUUACUGUGUGAUCAUUUUAAGUGCAAAAAACCUAAGAAAGAUAACCAAAACAUUAAUUCAUUUGUAACAAUAGGUAAAUGUAUGAUUGUAAAUUUUAAAAUAACAUACCUCAGUAUUGUUGUAUUGAAAUUGAUGUUGAUCUUGUAUUAAUUAAUCAAUGCAGUAUUUGGUUACUGAACUAGAAGGCGUUGUUGAUUUUGGAGGCUAUUUUCGAUCUUAGAGAUGUGCCGUGACAACCGGCUUCGUCUUCUCCGAUAAAGAGUUUACUCGCGACAGGAGGCUUCGGCGAAGACAACCGGCUUCGUCUUCUCCGAUUAAGAGUUUACUCGCGACAGGAGGCUUCGGCUUCAUCUUGUUUGUCUUUUUCGUCGUUGAUCUGUUGUUCCGAUUUCAAAAUUGCAUGAUUUUAGGAAUGGUUAAUUUUAAAUAUGAAAUUUGGUAACCGACGUGUAGGAGUUAAUGACACGUGAUUUUAGCACGUAGUUUUGUAAUUAUGUUGUGUAUGUUUCAUUUUUGUAAUUAUGUUGUGUAUGUUUUAUUUUUGUAAUUACUUUCUAAUUGUUGUAUAUUAGUGUAAAGGACCCUUUAAAUUUAUCUACUACCUUAUAAUUUAUAUUCAAAUAUCAAAUUUUAAAAGUAAUUUCAAAAUUUAAAAUUUAAUAUAAAUUGAAUUAAUUUUAGAAAUUAAAUCGUAGAAUUUUAUGUUAUCUAAAUGAGUAAAUCUAUAGGUACAUCUAUUUCACAACUCUCUUCCCGAUACUCAUCUCCCUUUGUCGUUUUGACAUAAUAGAAAACCUCGUCUCCCUCAUUUGUCCUACUAUUAUACUAUUAAAUACUGAGCUCACUUAUAUAUUUAAAUUCUUAACAUUCUCUCUCAUCUUUUUUCUUCAAUCAAUCCAACUAAAAAGAUAAAAACAAAUUUUUCGUGGUGAAUCAUCAUUUUACCUAACAUUAAGAUUAAUAAUAAUUACCAGUUGAGUGCUAUACUUGGUCAUCUAAAGUUGACAGAGCCCCUUUUCAAACAAUAUUCAUCAAUCUCUUUAUGUUUCAAGCUUAUAUAUUCUUCUGAUUCAAACUAUGCAGAUGAUCCCCUCAUCUUCUUUAUUAGUCAUGAUUGUCGAAAAUUUAGGACCCUUUCCCUGUUCCUUGGAAACCAGUUGUCUUAAGCUCAUGAGGCAUAGACAGUAGCCCCAACAUUCUGAAAUUAAACCAUCAGUCUCUCAUCUUCUUCGUGCUCUUGUUGAAUCUCAACCAGGGGUUGCUAAGCGUCUCAAUACAACCCGUUUUCGCAAUAGAAAAUUAUGCUCAACAAAAUACACAACUCCCGGAUUUUCCAACCAGAAACCAAUCUCCCCAAUAUCAAAACCAAAACCAUUAACUCCCAUCUCCACAAUUCAAGUCCAUACAAACUCUUAUUCUUAAAGAAAUUAAUAGCAAGGCUACAUAUUAAUGCAACUAUAAUUAAAAUCAAAUUGAAAAAUUAAAGCACAUACCACUGGAUCGUCGUCACAAGUUCUCAUUAAGCGAAAUUUUAACUUCUUUGGGUGAAACUUGACCGUAGUUUGGACUUAACACAAUUUUGGACAACCCAGGUGAACGUAGAGAAGCAGGGGAUGAAUCGGUGGUAAAGUCGAAAUCUUUGUUGGAAUUAUCAUUUGAGAAAUCGUAGCUAGAAUUUCGCCACAUUUUUUUUAGCGGAAACUGCUUCGGGUUCAAUAUAAUUGGACGUGAGUUCUUCAGUUUGUUUGAGAAUACUAUUUUUGCGGUUGGUUUUGAUGACUAUGUCAUUAUUGACUAACGGGGACUAGAAGGAAGAUGCAGGUGUUGCUGCAACCACAAUGGGAGUUUCUUCUUGUUGUUUUUGUUUGAUGGUGUAAAAUGAUUUGUGAUUUGGCGGACUGCUUCUUCACAGUGGGGGGUGAGGAGAGGGUUUCGUUUGAGUUUUUGGGUUAG
Molecule: long non-coding RNA, 3114 nt
Filed under: Panax ginseng (ginseng)
Lineage: Eukaryota; Viridiplantae; Streptophyta; Magnoliopsida; Apiales; Araliaceae
Description: long non-coding RNA (PGIN_LNC018442)
Source: RNAcentral